This 468-nucleotide ribosomal RNA is filed under the name uncultured bacterium. RNAcentral describes it as "partial 16S ribosomal RNA". It matches the Rfam family "Bacterial small subunit ribosomal RNA", at positions 28 to 507 of the family's 1533-position model. The record is from RNAcentral.
GACGAACGCUGGCGGCGUGCUUAACACAUGCAAGUCGAACGGAAAGGCCCUGCUUUUGUGGGGUGCUCGAGUGGCGAACGGGUGAGUAACACGUGAGUAACCUGCCCUUGACUUUGGGAUAACUUCAGGAAACUGGGGCUAAUACCGGAUAGGAGCUCCUGCUGCAUGGUGGGGGUUGGAAAGUUUCGGCGGUUGGGGAUGGACUCGCGGCUUAUCAGCUUGUUGGUGGGGUAGUGGCUUACCAAGGCUUUGACGGGUAGCCGGCCUGAGAGGGUGACCGGCCACAGUGGGACUGAGAUACGGCGCAGACUCCUACGGGAGGCAGCAGUGGGGAAUAUUGCACAAUGGGCGGAAGCCUGAGGCAGCAACGCCGCGUGCGGGAUGACGGCCUUCGGGCUGUAAACCGCUUUCGCCUGUGACGAAGCGUGAGUGACGGUAAUGGGUAAAGAAGCACCGGCUAACUACGUG